This 77-nucleotide transfer RNA is filed under the name Pseudaminobacter soli (ex Li et al. 2025). Its description in RNAcentral is "Mesorhizobium soli tRNA-Arg". It matches the Rfam family "tRNA". Rfam says of the family: Transfer RNA (tRNA) molecules are approximately 80 nucleotides in length. The record is from RNAcentral. Lineage: Bacteria; Pseudomonadati; Pseudomonadota; Alphaproteobacteria; Hyphomicrobiales; Phyllobacteriaceae.
GCGCUCGUAGCUCAAUUGGAUAGAGCAUCGGACUUCGAAUCCGCAGGUUGCAGGUUCAACCCCUGCCGAGCGCACCA